UACGGGAGGCAGCAGUGGGGAAUAUUGCACAAUGGGCGAAAGCCUGAUGCAGCUAUGCCGCGUGUAUGAAGAAGGCCUUAGGGUUGUAAAGUACUUUCAUCGGGGAGGAAAAAACAAAACUAAUAAUUUUAUUUCUUGACGUUACCCGAAAAAGAAGCACCGGCUAACUCCGUGCCAGCAGCCGCGGUAAUACGGAGGGUGCUAGCGUUAAUCAGAAUUACUGGGCGUAAAGAGCACGUAGGUGGUUUUUUUAAGUCAGAUGUGAAAUCCCUGGGCUUAACCUGGAACUGCAUUUUGAAACUGAAAUACUAGAGUAUCGUAGAGGGAGGUAGAAUUCUAGGUGUAACGGUGGAAUAGCGUAGAUAUCUGGUAGGAAGUAACCUCGUGGCGGAAACGACGGCCGUCCUAAACCGAACUAACUGACACUGAGGUGCGAAAGACG
This 442-nucleotide ribosomal RNA is filed under the name uncultured bacterium. RNAcentral describes it as "bacterial SSU rRNA". It matches the Rfam family "Bacterial small subunit ribosomal RNA", at positions 340 to 762 of the family's 1533-position model. The record is from RNAcentral.